GUUCUGCGCAUGCGCCGCCUCUGCGCGGCCUCUCAUGGGUCCAGUCCCAGAGUGCCCGGGGUCAGUCUCGCAGAGCCCUCGGGAUCAGUCCCGCAGAGCUCCCGGGGUCAGUCCCACAGAGCCCCUGGGUCAGUCCCACAGAGCUCCCGGGGUCAGUCCCACAGAGCCCUCGGGGUCAGUCCCGCAGAGCUCCCGGGGUGAGUCCCGCAGAACCCUCAGAGUCAGUCCCACAGAGUCCCUGGGUCCGUCCCACAGAACCCUCAGGGUCAGUCCCACAGAGCCCUCGGGGUCAGUCCCGCAGAGCCCUCAGGGUCAGUCCCACAGAGCCCCCGGGGUCAGUCCCGCAGAGCCCUCAGGGUCAGUCCCGCAGAGCCCUCAGGGUCAGUCCCGCAGAGCCCUCGGGGUCAGUCCCGCAGAGCCCUCGGGGUCAGUCCCACAGAGCCCCCGGGGUCAGUCCCACAGAGCUCCCGGGGUCAGUCCCACAGAGCCCCCGGGGUCAGUCCCACAGAGCCCUCGGGGUCAGUCCCACAGAGCCCCCGGGGUCAGUCCCACAGAGCUCCCGGGGUCAGUCCCACAGAGCCCCUGGGGUCAGUCCCACAGAGCCCCCGGGGUCAGUCCCGCAGAGCCCUCGGGGUCAGUCCCGCAGAGCCCUCAGGGUCAGUCCCGCAGAGCCCCUGGGGUCAGUCCCACAGAGCCCCCGGGGUCAGUCCCACAGAGCCCUCAGGGUGAGUCCCGCAGAGCCCUCGGGGUGAGUCCCGCAGAGCCCUCGGGGUCAGUCCCAGAGCCCUCGGGGUCAGUCCCAGAGCCCUCGGGGUCAGUCCUGCAGAGCCCCCGGGGUCAGUCCCAGAGCCCUGUCACGGCCUCCUGACAGCCUGGGCUGCCCCAAGGGCUCUGUCUGUGGAGUCCUUUCCAGGCACGGCUGCGCAGGAGAACUCCGAACAGCAGCCCGGAGUCACCAAGAGUGUGUCCUGACCUCCCGUUAAUGUUCUGAAUUAGGAAAAUUCUCCCAAUCUGUUGAUAAAAAUCCUCUCAAUAUGUUGAUAAAUGCACUGUUACAGUGUGCUGGGCUUUAC
Molecule: long non-coding RNA, 1073 nt
Filed under: Corvus moneduloides (New Caledonian crow)
Lineage: Eukaryota; Metazoa; Chordata; Aves; Passeriformes; Corvidae
Description: lncRNA (ENSCMUG00000018190.1)
Source: RNAcentral